ACCCAGCUGUGUAUCUCCUCACAGCAAAAGCAGCAUGCAGUGCCUGGUGGCUGGCCAAAUUUUGAACCAGAACGCAGCUGCCUUGUUAGAAGGGCUUCCACUCCAUUAAUCCCACCAAAAGUAAACAGAAAUUAACCUUUUCUAAAAUAUCAAGCCACCAUCCUCUAACUCAAGCCUCUAAGGCUUUCAGCUACCAUGGUAAUUGCAACAUUACAAGAGCCUGGAGAGAACAAAAAGGAACCCCCUCCACAGCCUCUGCUUCUCUAUAGUCAGCUUCCUCUGUCCAAGGAAGCUUUCCUGUACUGCAGUUGUACUGCAGUCCUAUUCAUCACUUCACGUCUUCUACGUCCAUUCCUUUGAUUUAAAGGAAUUUAUCCUGAGUGCAGGUUAUCUGCGGAUACCUCAGGCAGAAGUACAACUUCAAAAUGAAUAUGAUUCAACACUUUCAGGAUCUUACUGUGAUAUUCCAAGCCAGACAGUGUGAUUUAUUUUUUUUUCCCUAGAUAAAACUUUAUUGGAUGAUAACGUUUCAAACCCAAGGAUUAUGGAUCUGGCAGGAAAAAAAAACAUUGUUUAUCCUGGAGUCAGCUAUUUAUUUUAUAUUUUAAGAGACUGCAGCCCUUUGGAACUACACUUCUGUGCUUGCUCUCUCAGAAGCACACAUCUGAAUGAAAACGGGAUGGAAUCAACCAAACUGUAGGAAAGAAGAGCCAGAUUUUCCUUUGAUUUAAAAGAGUUUUUAGUGAUCUAUUUUGAUACAUAGCAGAUUAUGGUUUGACUUGUGCACUUUUGAAAAAGAAAAUCAAUGUUCCCAGUCUCUGGUUCCACUUUGUGGUGAUACUGUGGUAUUUGAGGAUCUUGUAAUUGCCUUUGAUAACAAUAUGUAAAAUAAAAAAUGAGAAAUAAAUCUACUGGCUUCCUUGUUGAAGCAAAACUUCAACUCCUAAAUAGCAUACAGAGACCUAGAUCAUGCUUCUGAGUCUUUAUGGCCCUAGACCAUACUUCUGGGCCUUUGUGUCCCCGAGGUUACAGCUGGGAAGUUCGCUGCAGUUAAACACAAGUUGCAUUGUGGUUUAUGGUAAAUCAACACCUCCAUCUUAUAAAAUGUGUAAAAGCAGAAAAUGACUG
This is a long non-coding RNA of Numida meleagris (helmeted guineafowl), 1128 nucleotides long. RefSeq lists it as uncharacterized. The transcript has 3 exons. The record is from RefSeq and is a predicted model, not a curated record. Lineage: Eukaryota; Metazoa; Chordata; Aves; Galliformes; Numididae.